CAACCUGAGAGUUUGAUUCUGGCUCAGAACGAACGCUGGCGGCAGGCUUAACACAUGCAAGUCGAGCGCCCUGCUUGCAGGGAGCGGCAGACGGGUGAGUAACGCGUGGGAACAUACCUUUCGGUUCGGAAUAGCCCCGGGAAACUGGGUGUAAUACCGAAUACGUCCUUAGGGAGAAAGAUUUAUCGCCGAAAGAUUGGCCCGCGUUAGAUUAGAUAGUUGGUGAGGUAACGGCUCACCAAGUCGACGAUCUAUAGCUGGUUUGAGAGGAUGAUCAGCCACACUGGGACUGAGACACGGCCCAGACUCCUACGGGAGGCAGCAGUGAGGAAUCUUGGACAAUGGGCGAAAGCCUGAUCCAGCCAUGCCGCGUGAAUGAUGAAGGCCUUAGGGUUGUAAAAUUCUUUCAGCAGGGAAGAUAAUGACGGUACCUGCAAAAGAAGCCCCGGCUAACUCCGUGCCAGCAGCCGCGGUAAUACGGAGGGGGC
This 488-nucleotide ribosomal RNA is filed under the name Maricaulis sp. Its description in RNAcentral is "bacterial SSU rRNA". It matches the Rfam family "Bacterial small subunit ribosomal RNA", at positions 1 to 535 of the family's 1533-position model. Lineage: Bacteria; Pseudomonadati; Pseudomonadota; Alphaproteobacteria; Maricaulales; Maricaulaceae. The record is from RNAcentral.